This 2884-nucleotide ribosomal RNA is filed under the name Burkholderia cenocepacia. RNAcentral's name for it is "bacterial LSU rRNA". It matches the Rfam family "Bacterial large subunit ribosomal RNA". Lineage: Bacteria; Pseudomonadati; Pseudomonadota; Betaproteobacteria; Burkholderiales; Burkholderiaceae. The record is from RNAcentral.
UCAAGCGAACAAGUGCAUGUGGUGGAUGCCUUGGCGAUCACAGGCGAUGAAGGACGCGGUAGCCUGCGAAAAGCUACGGGGAGCUGGCAAACGAGCUUUGAUCCGUAGAUGUCCGAAUGGGGAAACCCGGCCCUUUUGGGUCAUCCUAGACUGAAUACAUAGGUCUAGUGAAGCGAACGCGGUGAACUGAAACAUCUAAGUAACCGCAGGAAAAGAAAUCAACCGAGAUUCCCAAAGUAGUGGCGAGCGAAAUGGGAUGAGCCUUGCACUCUUUAUUUGUAUUGUUAGCCGAACGCUCUGGAAAGUGCGGCCAUAGCAGGUGAUAGCCCUGUAGGCGAAAACAGUAUGAAAGAACUAGGUGUGCGACAAGUAGGGCGGGACACGUGAAAUCCUGUCUGAAGAUGGGGGGACCAUCCUCCAAGGCUAAAUACUCGUGAUCGACCGAUAGUGAACCAGUACCGUGAGGGAAAGGCGAAAAGAACCCCGGGAGGGGAGUGAAAUAGAUCCUGAAACCGCAUGCAUACAAACAGUCGGAGCCUCGUAAGGGGUGACGGCGUACCUUUUGUAUAAUGGGUCAGCGACUUACGUUCAGUAGCAAGCUUAACCGUAUAGGGCAGGCGUAGCGAAAGCGAGUCCGAAUAGGGCGUUCAGUUGCUGGGCGUAGACCCGAAACCAGGUGAUCUAUCCAUGGCCAGGAUGAAGGUGCGGUAACACGUACUGGAGGUCCGAACCCACUAACGUUGAAAAGUUAGGGGAUGAGCUGUGGAUAGGGGUGAAAGGCUAAACAAACCUGGAAAUAGCUGGUUCUCUCCGAAAACUAUUUAGGUAGUGCCUCGUGUCUCACCUUCGGGGGUAGAGCACUGUCAUGGUUGGGGGGUCUAUUGCAGAUUACCCCGCCAUAGCAAACUCCGAAUACCGAAGAGUGCAAUCACGGGAGACAGACAUCGGGUGCUAACGUCCGGUGUCAAGAGGGAAACAACCCAGACCGCCAGCUAAGGUCCCCAAAUAUAGCUAAGUGGGAAACGAAGUGGGAAGGCUAAAACAGUCAGGAGGUUGGCUUAGAAGCAGCCACCCUUUAAAGAAAGCGUAAUAGCUCACUGAUCGAGUCGUCCUGCGCGGAAGAUGUAACGGGGCUAAGCUAUAUACCGAAGCUGCGGAUGCGAGCUUGCUCGCAUGGUAGGAGAGCGUUCCGUAAGCCUGCGAAGGUGCCUUGUAAAGGGUGCUGGAGGUAUCGGAAGUGCGAAUGCUGACAUGAGUAGCGAUAAAGGGGGUGAAAGGCCCCCUCGCCGUAAGCCCAAGGUUUCCUACGCAACGUUCAUCGGCGUAGGGUGAGUCGGCCCCUAAGGCGAGGCAGAAAUGCGUAGCUGAUGGGAAGCAGGUCAAUAUUCCUGCACCAUUGUUAGAUGCGAUGGGGGGACGGAUCGCGGAAGGUUGUCCGGGUGUUGGAAGUCCCGGUCGCUGCAUUGGAGAAGGCGCUUAGGCAAAUCCGGGCGCGUAAUUCAAGGGUGUGGGCGCGAGCUCCUUCGGGAGCGAAGCAAUUGGAAGUGGUUCCAAGAAAAGCCUCUAAGCUUCAGUCUAACGAUGACCGUACCGCAAACCGACACAGGUGGGCGAGAUGAGUAUUCUAAGGCGCUUGAGAGAACUCGGGAGAAGGAACUCGGCAAAUUGGUACCGUAACUUCGGGAUAAGGUACGCCCUUGUAGCUUGACUGGCCUGCGCCAGGAGGGUGAAGGGGUUGCAAUAAACUGGUGGCUGCGACUGUUUAAUAAAAACACAGCACUCUGCAAACACGAAAGUGGACGUAUAGGGUGUGACGCCUGCCCGGUGCCGGAAGAUUAAAUGAUGGGGUGCAAGCUCUUGAUUGAAGUCCCGGUAAACGGCGGCCGUAACUAUAACGGUCCUAAGGUAGCGAAAUUCCUUGUCGGGUAAGUUCCGACCUGCCACGAAUGGCGUAACGAUGGCCACACUGUCUCCUCCCGAGACUCAGCGAAGUUGAAGUGUUUGUGAUGAUGCAAUCUACCCGCGGCUAGACGGAAAGACCCCAUGAACCUUUACUGUAGCUUUGCAUUGGACUUUGAACCGAUCUGUGUAGGAUAGGUGGGAGGCUAUGAAACCGGAACGCUAGUUUCGGUGGAGCCGUCCUUGAAAUACCACCCUGGUUUGUUUGAGGUUCUAACCUUGGCCCGUGAUCCGGGUCGGGGACAGUGCAUGGUAGGCAGUUUGACUGGGGCGGUCUCCUCCCAAAGCGUAACGGAGGAGUACGAAGGUACGCUAGGUACGGUCGGAAAUCGUGCUGAUAGUGCAAUGGCAUAAGCGUGCUUAACUGCGAGACCGACAAGUCGAGCAGGUGCGAAAGCAGGUCAUAGUGAUCCGGUGGUUCUGUAUGGAAGGGCCAUCGCUCAACGGAUAAAAGGUACUCUGGGGAUAACAGGCUGAUACCGCCCAAGAGUUCAUAUCGACGGCGGUGUUUGGCACCUCGAUGUCGGCUCAUCUCAUCCUGGGGCUGUAGCCGGUCCCAAGGGUAUGGCUGUUUCGCCAUUUAAAGAGGUACGUGAGCUGGGUUUAAAAACGUCGUGAGACAGUUUGGUCCCUAUCUGCCGUGGGCGUUGGAUAUUUGAAGGGGGCUGCUCCUAGUACGAGAAGGACCGGAGUGGACGAACCUCUGGUGUACCGGUUGUCACGCCAGUGGCAUCGCCGGGUAGCUAUGUUCGGAAGAGAUAACCGCUGAAAGCAUCUAAGCGGGAAACUCGCCUUAAGAUGAGAUAUCCCUGGGGACUAGAUCCCCUUGAAGGGUCGUUCGAGACCAGGACGUUGAUAGGUCAGGUGUGUAAGCGCAGUAAUGCGUUCAGCUAACUGAUACUAAUUGCCCGUAAGGCUUGAUCCU